CAUAACGUCGCAAGACCAAAGAGGGGGACCUUCGGGCCUCUUGCCAUCGGAUGUGCCCAGAUGGGAUUAGCUAGUAGGUGGGGUAACGGCUCACCUAUGCUACNAUCCCUAGCUGGUCUGAGAGGAUGACCAGCCACACUGGAACUGAGACACGGUCCAGACUCCUACGGGAGGCAGCAGUGGGGAAUAUUGCACAAUGGGCGCAAGCCUGAUGCAGCCAUGCCGCGUGUAUGAAGAAGGCCUUCGGGUUGUAAAGUACUUUCAGCGGGGAGGAAGGGAGUAAAGUUAAUACCUUUGCUCAUUGACGUUACCCGCAGAAGAAGCACCGGCUAACUCCGUGCCAGCAGCCGCGGUAAUACGGAGGGUGCAAGCGUUAAUCGGAAUUACUGGGCGUAAAGCGCACGCAGGCGGUUUGUUAAGUCAGAUGUGAAAUCCCCGGGCUCAACCUGGGAACUGCAUCUGAUACUGGCAAGCUUGAGUCUCGUAGAGGGGGGUAGAAUUCC
This 503-nucleotide ribosomal RNA is filed under the name Enterobacteriaceae bacterium HGH0104. RNAcentral's name for it is "bacterial SSU rRNA". It matches the Rfam family "Bacterial small subunit ribosomal RNA", at positions 172 to 670 of the family's 1533-position model. Lineage: Bacteria; Pseudomonadati; Pseudomonadota; Gammaproteobacteria; Enterobacterales; Enterobacteriaceae. The record is from RNAcentral.